AGAGUUUGAUCAUGGCUCAGAUUGAACGCUGGCGGCAUGCUUUACACAUGCAAGUCGAACGGCAGCACGGGCUUCGGCCUGGUGGCGAGUGGCGAACGGGUGAGUAAUGCAUCGGAACGUACCGUGUAGUGGGGGAUAACGUAGCGAAAGUUACGCUAAUACCGCAUACGCCCUGAGGGGGAAAGUGGGGGACCGCAAGGCCUCACGCUAUAUGAGCGGCCGAUGUCGGAUUAGCUAGUUGGCGGGGUAAAGGCCCACCAAGGCGACGAUCCGUA
This 275-nucleotide ribosomal RNA is filed under the name uncultured Zoogloea sp. RNAcentral describes it as "partial 16S ribosomal RNA". It matches the Rfam family "Bacterial small subunit ribosomal RNA", at positions 8 to 285 of the family's 1533-position model. The record is from RNAcentral. Lineage: Bacteria; Pseudomonadati; Pseudomonadota; Betaproteobacteria; Rhodocyclales; Zoogloeaceae.